AGUGAACGCUGGCGGUAGGCCUAACACAUGCAAGUCGAACGGCAGCACAGUAAGAGCUUGCUCUUACGGGUGGCGAGUGGCGGACGGGUGAGGAAUACAUCGGAAUCUACUUUUUCGUGGGGGAUAACGUAGGGAAACUUACGCUAAUACCGCAUACGACCUACGGGUGAAAGCAGGGGAUCUUCGGACCUUGCGCGAUUGAAUGAGCCGAUGUCGGAUUAGCUAGUUGGCGGGGUAAAGGCCCACCAAGGCGACGAUCCGUAGCUGGUCUGAGAGGAUGAUCAGCCACACUGGCACUGAGACACGGUCCAGACUCCUACGAGAGGCAGCAGUGGGGAAUAUUGGACAAUGGGCGCAAGCCUGAUCCAGCCAUACCGCGUGGGUGAAGAAGGCCUUCGGGUUGUAAAGCCCUUUUGUUGGGAAAGAAAAGCAGCAGGUUAAUACCCCGCUGUUCUGACGGUACCCAAAGAAUAAGCACCGGCUAACUUCGUG
Molecule: ribosomal RNA, 492 nt
Filed under: uncultured bacterium
Lineage: Bacteria
Description: partial 16S ribosomal RNA
Rfam family: Bacterial small subunit ribosomal RNA
Source: RNAcentral